UCUUGCUCGGCGUGUGUGAGGAAAUUUUGGACGCCCCCUACGGCGCCAACUCGGCCGAUAACUCGGCA
RNAcentral lists this non-coding RNA (68 nucleotides) under Pseudopedinella elastica. The record is from RNAcentral. Lineage: Eukaryota; Dictyochophyceae; Pedinellales.